UGGGGAAUUUUGGACAAUGGGCGAAAGCCUGAUCCAGCAAUGCCGCGUGUGUGAAGAAGGCCUUCGGGUUGUAAAGCACUUUUGUCCGGAAAGAAAUCCUUGGCUCUAAUACAGUCGGGGGAUGACGGUACCGGAAGAAUAAGCACCGGCUAACUACGUGCCAGCAGCCGCGGUAAUACGUAGGGUGCAAGCGUUAAUCGGAAUUACUGGGCGUAAAGCGUGCGCAGGCGGUUUGCUAAGACCGAUGUGAAAUCCCCGGGCUCAACCUGGGAACUGCAUUGGUGACUGGCAGGCUAGAGUAUGGCAGAGGGGGGUAGAAUUCCACGUGUAGCAGUGAAAUGCGUAGAGAUGUGGAGGAAUACCGAUGGCGAAGGCAGCCCCUGGGCCAAUACUGACGCUCAUGCACGAAAGCGUGGGGAGCAAACAGGAUUAGAUACCCUGGUAGUCCACGCCCUAAACGAUGUCAACUAGUUGUUGGGGAUUCAUUCCUUAGUAACGUAGCUAACGCGUGAAGUUGACCGCCUGGGGAGUACGGUCG
RNAcentral lists this ribosomal RNA (538 nucleotides) under uncultured bacterium. RNAcentral describes it as "partial 16S ribosomal RNA". It matches the Rfam family "Bacterial small subunit ribosomal RNA", at positions 355 to 888 of the family's 1533-position model. The record is from RNAcentral.